UGGUAGAGCGCAUGCUUUGCAUGUAUGAGGCCCCGGGUUCGAUCCCCGGCAUCUCCAUCUGCCUUUUCUUUUCAUUUCCAGAUUUGGAAGUCUUCCGUGUGGGUCGAGCGCUACACCUGACAGUAGAAUCCUGACGACGCAGCAAUUACUGAGGAUUGAACCCAGGCCCUUUCACAUAGCUAUACACCUACACCUUUUUAAUUUUGAGACGGGACCUGCUAAAUCGCUCAACCCACAGUCUAACUCCGGAUCCUUCCUCAACCUCCUGGAGUCCUAGGAUUACAGGCCUGUGUCUCCACACCCAGGAUCUCACUGUGAAGUUCAGGCUGACCUUGAACUCACAAUGUAGCUGAGGAUGACCUCAAACUUUCAGUGAUUAUUCUGCCUCAGCCUCCUAAGUGGUGGGAUUACAGGUAUGUGCCACCAUUCCUGGCUUUAUUAUGCUGACAAUUAAACAUUUAUCCUGGAACUCAGGCUUAUUCAUCCUCAUUCACAUAACAAUAAA
Long non-coding RNA from Cavia porcellus (domestic guinea pig), 505 nucleotides. RefSeq lists it as uncharacterized. The record is from RefSeq and is a predicted model, not a curated record. The transcript has 3 exons. NCBI's taxonomy places the organism in Eukaryota, Metazoa, Chordata, Mammalia, Rodentia, Caviidae.